AGGAGAUUAGUCCAAACGCAAGACCUCUGAUUUCGGCUCAGAAAACCACGGUUCAAGCCCGUGACCUCCUU
RNAcentral lists this transfer RNA (71 nucleotides) under Pterocryptis anomala. RNAcentral's name for it is "tRNA-Arg". It matches the Rfam family "tRNA". From Rfam's summary of the family: Transfer RNA (tRNA) molecules are approximately 80 nucleotides in length. Their secondary structure includes four short double-helical elements and three loops (D, anti-codon, and T loops). The record is from RNAcentral. Lineage: Eukaryota; Metazoa; Chordata; Actinopteri; Siluriformes; Siluridae.